This 115-nucleotide non-coding RNA is filed under the name Clostridium grantii. RNAcentral's name for it is "TPP sequence". It matches the Rfam family "TPP riboswitch aptamer (THI element)". Rfam says of the family: Vitamin B(1) in its active form thiamin pyrophosphate (TPP) is an essential coenzyme that is synthesised by coupling of pyrimidine and thiazole moieties in bacteria. The previously detected thiamin-regulatory element, thi box was extended, resulting in a new, highly conserved RNA secondary structure, the THI element, which is widely distributed in eubacteria and also occurs in some archaea. Lineage: Bacteria; Bacillati; Bacillota; Clostridia; Eubacteriales; Clostridiaceae. The record is from RNAcentral. RNAcentral also lists the same sequence under 1 other name.
UAUAGUAGCUAGGGGUGUCUUGUUUUGACUGAGAAAUAAAUCAAUGUGAAUUGAGUUAUUACCCUCAUUACCUGAUCUGGGUUAUACCAGCGUAGGAAAGCAGAAAAUAUUAAUA